RNAcentral lists this transfer RNA (74 nucleotides) under Staphylococcus aureus. RNAcentral's name for it is "tRNA-Ile". It matches the Rfam family "tRNA". Rfam says of the family: Transfer RNA (tRNA) molecules are approximately 80 nucleotides in length. Their secondary structure includes four short double-helical elements and three loops (D, anti-codon, and T loops). Lineage: Bacteria; Bacillati; Bacillota; Bacilli; Caryophanales; Staphylococcaceae. The record is from RNAcentral.
UGGCCUAUAGCUCAGCUGGUUAGAGCGCACGCCUGAUAAGCGUGAGGUCGGUGGUUCGAGUCCACUUAGGCCAC